GAAUGGGAGUGAGGAUGAGAUUGAGAGAGAGGAUGAGAGGGAUGAGUAAUAGAAGUGAAAACAAAAUCUUGAAAGUGAACAAUUUGAAAUAGAUUUCAGUUUUUAGUUGUUACCUCCCUCCCAUCAUCUCCUCUCAUAUUCCCUCUCAAUUCCAUCUC
RNAcentral lists this microRNA precursor (158 nucleotides) under Prunus dulcis (almond). Its description in RNAcentral is "sRNA ncRNA". Lineage: Eukaryota; Viridiplantae; Streptophyta; Magnoliopsida; Rosales; Rosaceae. The record is from RNAcentral.